Long non-coding RNA from Cyprinus carpio (common carp), 235 nucleotides. RefSeq lists it as uncharacterized. The record is from RefSeq and is a predicted model, not a curated record. NCBI's taxonomy places the organism in Eukaryota, Metazoa, Chordata, Actinopteri, Cypriniformes, Cyprinidae. The transcript has 3 exons.
CCACCCCCUGCCUCCGCCCCUGUCUGCCAUAUAAAAAGUCAAAGAUCUGCACUGAGAAACAGACGAAAUACAGCAAGCUCUCUAUGUGCAGUAUUCCUGGCUGAUUUCAGUGAGAAACAAUGGGAUUCUGGACCAUCUCUGUGUCUCUCUGUCUGCUCUUUGUUAUGAAUGCAUCAGGAGCCUGUCGGUUUGGGGGGACUCGAUAGGGACAUGAAUGCUUCAAGGUUUUUAAAAA